RNAcentral lists this ribosomal RNA (1622 nucleotides) under alkali sediment metagenome. RNAcentral's name for it is "bacterial LSU rRNA". It matches the Rfam family "Bacterial large subunit ribosomal RNA", at positions 428 to 2007 of the family's 2925-position model. The record is from RNAcentral.
GAAACCCUGUAGGAAUCUGGAAGGACCAUCUUCCAAGGCUAAAUACUACCUACCAACCGAUAGUGAACUAGUACCGUGAGGGAAAGGUGAAAAGUACUCCUGUUAGGAGAGUGAAAUAGUACCUGAAACCGUGUGCCUACAAGCGGUGGGAGCCCUAUGUAUGAAUGCUUGCAUUUAUACAGGGUGACUGCGUGCCUUUUGCAUAAUGAGUCCGCGAGUUACUGUAUGCAGCAAGGUUAAGCCGAAAGGUGGAGCCGCAGCGAAAGCGAGUCUGAAUAGGGCGAAUAGUUGUAUGCAGUAGACCCGAAACUGAGUGAUCUACCCAUGGCCAGGGUAAAAUUUCGGUAACACGAAAUGGAGGCCCGAACUGAUUUUGGUUGAAAACAAUUCGGAUGAGCUGUGGGUAGGAGUGAAAGGCUAAUCAAACUCAGAGAUAGCUGGUUCUCCCCGAAAUAUAUUUAGGUAUAGCCUUGCGACUGAAUAAUGGAGGUAGAGCACUGGAUGGGCUAGGGGUCUUACCGGAUUACCAAACCCAACCAAACUCCGAAUGCCAUUAUCUCGUAUUGCAGGAGUCAGACUACGGGAGAUAAGUUCCGUGGUCGAGAGGGAAAGAGCCCAGACCACCAGCUAAGGUCCCUAAUAUAUGCUAAGUGGUAAAGGAAGUGGAAACGCAUAGACAACCAGGAGGUUGGCUUAGAAGCAGCCAUCCUUUAAAGAAAGCGUAACAGCUCACUGGUCAAGUGGGUCUGCGCCGAAAAUUCAACGGGGCUUAAGCAUAUAACCGAAGCUGUGGCUUAAUUCCGAUUCGUCGGGAUUAGGGGUAGGGGAGCAUUCCAGUAGCCUGUGAAGCCAGACUGUAAAGACUGGUGGAGGUCCUGGAAGAGCUUAUGCAGACACGAGUAGCGAGAAUGUCAGUGAGAACCUGACACGCCGAAAGCCUAAGGUUUCCUGGGGAAGGUCAGUCCGCCCAGGGUUAGUCAAUACCUAAGCCGAGGCCGAGAGGCGUAGGCGAUGGGAAACAGGUUAAUAUUCCUGUACCACCAUGUGAGCGUUUGAGCGAAGGGGGGACGCAGGAGGGUAGGCCAUCCGGGUUUUGGUCGUCCUGGUUCAAGCCCGUAGGUGGGGAAGGCAGGCAAAUCCGUCUUCCUAUUUCAAACACCGAGAGGUGAUGAGGAGGAGCUUAGCUCCACAAACUGGUUGAUCCCACACUGCCAAGAAAAGCCUCGUAGCGAGCAAGCAUGUAAACCGACACAGGUAGGCAGGGAGAGCAUCCUAAGGCGCAUGAGAGAACCUUCGUUAAGGAACUCUGCAAAUUGGCUCCGUAACUUCGGGAAAAGGAGUGCCUCAUUAGCGUGAAGCGAUUAGCACGCCGAGCGCGAAGAGGUCGCAGUGAAAAAGCGGUAGCGACUGUUUAAUAAAAACACAGGUCUCUGCGAAGUCGUAAGACAAUGUAUAGGGACUGACGCCUGCCCGGUGCUGGAAGGUUAAGGGGAGGAGUUAUUUAAUUUAAUUAAAGAAGCUCCAAUCUGAAGCCCCAGUAAACGGCGGCCGUAACUAUAACGGUCCUAAGGUAGCGAAAUUCCUUGUCGGGUAAGUUCCGACCUGCACGAAUGGCGUAACGA